CGGACGGGUGAGUAACGCGUGGAAAACCUGCCGUAUACUGGGGGAUAACACUUAGAAAUAGGUGCUAAUACCGCAUAAGCGCACAGCUUCGCAUGAAGUGGUGUGAAAAACUCUGGUGGUAUACGAUGGUUCCGCGUCUGAUUAGCUAGUUGGUGGGGCAACGGCCCACCAAGGCGACGAUCAGUAGCCGGACUGAGAGGUUGGCCGGCCACAUUGGGACUGAGACACGGCCCAGACUCCUACGGGAGGCAGCAG
RNAcentral lists this ribosomal RNA (255 nucleotides) under uncultured bacterium. RNAcentral describes it as "partial 16S ribosomal RNA". It matches the Rfam family "Bacterial small subunit ribosomal RNA", at positions 99 to 354 of the family's 1533-position model. The record is from RNAcentral.